AUUGAACGCUGGCGGAAUGCUUUACACAUGCAAGUCGAACGGUAGAGGGGGCAACCCCUCGAGAGUGGCGAACGGGUGAGUAAUAUAUCGGAACGUGCCCAGUCGUGGGGGAUAACGUAGCGAAAGUUACGCUAAUACCGCAUACGAUCUAAGGAUGAAAGCGGGGGAUCGCAAGACCUCGCGCGAUUGGAGCGGCCGAUAUCAGAUUAGGUAGUUGGUGGGGUAAAGGCUCACCAAGCCAACGAUCUGUAGCUGGUCUGAGAGGACGACCAGCCACACUGGAACUGAGACACGUUCCAGACUCCUACGGGAGCCAGCAGUGGUGAAUUUUGGACAAUGGACGCAAGUCUGAUCCAGCCAUUCCGCGUGCAGGAUGAAGGCCCUCGGGUUGUAAACUGCUUUUGUACGGAACGAAAAGGUCUCUCUUAAUACGGGGGACUCAUGACGGUACCGUAAGAAUAAGCACCGGCUAACUACGUGCCAGCCGCCGCCGUAA
Molecule: ribosomal RNA, 496 nt
Filed under: uncultured bacterium
Lineage: Bacteria
Description: partial 16S ribosomal RNA
Rfam family: Bacterial small subunit ribosomal RNA
Source: RNAcentral